This 74-nucleotide transfer RNA is filed under the name Sphingomonas sp. RNAcentral's name for it is "tRNA-Gln". It matches the Rfam family "tRNA". From Rfam's summary of the family: Transfer RNA (tRNA) molecules are approximately 80 nucleotides in length. Their secondary structure includes four short double-helical elements and three loops (D, anti-codon, and T loops). Further hydrogen bonds mediate the characteristic L-shaped molecular structure. tRNAs have two regions of fundamental functional importance: the anti-codon, which is responsible for specific mRNA codon recognition, and the 3' end, to which the tRNAs corresponding amino acid is attached (by aminoacyl-tRNA synthetases). tRNAs cope with the degeneracy of the genetic code in two manners: having more than one tRNA (with a specific anti-codon) for a particular amino acid; and 'wobble' base-pairing, i.e. permitting non-standard base-pairing at the 3rd anti-codon position. RNAcentral also lists the same sequence under 10 other names. The record is from RNAcentral. Lineage: Bacteria; Pseudomonadati; Pseudomonadota; Alphaproteobacteria; Sphingomonadales; Sphingomonadaceae.
UGCCCCUUCGUCUAAUGGUAAGACCACGGACUCUGACUCCGUUAAUCAAGGUUCGAAUCCUUGGGGGGCAUCCA